Molecule: long non-coding RNA, 578 nt
Filed under: Anas platyrhynchos platyrhynchos (common mallard)
Lineage: Eukaryota; Metazoa; Chordata; Aves; Anseriformes; Anatidae
Description: lncRNA (ENSAPLG00000029782.1)
Source: RNAcentral
AUUUUAUGCCUUCCGUGGGGAUGGUGCUGCCUGUUGGUGCGGGGAUGUGGCCAUGGGGCUGAGGCUCAUUCUGGGAAGGAUCUGGGUGCACUGUAGACACUAAGCCUGUCCUUUUGUCAUGCCAGGCAAUGUGGUGAGUUCCCCAGCAAGUCCACCACCCCCAGGUUAGUGAUUCCCUCCUGCACCUCCUGUACCCCCAGGCAGCAGCCCCUCACACAACGCCCAGCUCCCUUCCAGAGGCUCAGCCAUGCCCCUGGAGGUCUGGAUCCUGCGCUCUGCUCUCAGCCUGCUCCUGCUGCUGUCUGCUCCCAUCAUCACCCUCCUCCUGGAGAGAUGCAGCCACGGUGCCAACGAGGCCAGACAGCCUGGAGACGUCCCUGUCCCCAUGGAGCUCUGAUGCCCUCCUGGGCUCCAUGUUAUCCAGAGCCUGCUCCACAAGACCAGAGCGUGACCCCCUCAUAUUUGCCAGACUCCCACUGCCAUUGGUCUCAAUGCAGCUGAGGCAGCAUGCCCAAGGGAUGUGCUGCCACUGCUCUGCUUCCCUUGGCUCAGACCCUGCUUUCUGCUAUUACUUUUGA